Sinocyclocheilus grahami is the source of this 2685-nucleotide long non-coding RNA. Lineage: Eukaryota; Metazoa; Chordata; Actinopteri; Cypriniformes; Cyprinidae. The record is from Ensembl.
AUGGCAAAAACAACUGAUACUCUCAAUUCUGCUGUUGCGUCACAAAAUCAAAACAUAGAUACUGACACAUCAGUGUUGACAACAGUGAUCAAAGAACAAGUGGUGGAGAUUCCCACUGUUGUUUCUGUGGUAGUGACACCAGCUACACCUCUAGAUGAAACACCCGUUGUAACUCUAGGCAAUGAGUCAAAGGAUAUACCUCCAGUAAAAGACACACCUGCUGUGACUGAAGCAGUAGAAACACCAAAUGUUGAAUCAGUGAUUGUGAGGACUGCUGUGGCCCCAGCAGUAGAGAUACAUAAUGUGAUUCCAGUGGUAGCAACACCAGAUCUUGGUUCAGUAAUAGUAAUAGAAGCUGCAUUUCCAGUAAUAAGUACAGCAACAGUGACUACAGUAGCAGAAGCAACAGUUUUGAGCACAGUUGUAGAAACACCUGUUUUUUCUGUCACAGCAGUAAAAUCUUCUCCAGCUGUGGUAGAGAAAACAGCUGUUUCACCUGUAGUAGAAAUCCCAGCCACAGUAACAUCUAUUGUGCAGACUCCAGCUGUUGUUUCAGUGGCAGAGAAUGUACCUCCAGAAGAGGUUACACUAGAUGUGACCCCAUUUGCAGAAACACCUGUGAGCCAAGUAAUUGAAACUCCCAUUGUUUCCAUCACUUCAGUAAAACCAACUGUACCUGCAGUGACAAAGACACCAGUCACUGAGAUACCAGCUAUGAUUUCAGUGACAGUAGCAGAAGCUGUAUCUCCUGUAGUAGUUACAUCAGCUGGAACUCCAGUAGAACCAGAAACAAUUAUGAUCCCAGAAGUAGAAACUUCAGUAGUAACUUCAACUGUAGAGACAUCACUUGUGACACUAGUGGUACAAACACCAGCUCAGAUUUCAAUAAUUGCAACAGAUGCAGGACCUCCAGUUACACCACCAGCAACUGCAGCAUCAGAAACAUCAGCUGUGAUCCCAGCUGUAGAAACUCCUGUUGUAAAGUCAUCUCCAGUUGCAGUGGAUGAGACUCCAGUUGUGACCCCAGUGGUACAGACACCAGGUCAGGUUUCAGUGAUGGUAACAAAGACUGUCCCUCCGCCAGUUGUUUCAGCAGAGACUGCAGAGGUAGAAACAUCUGUUGAGAUCCCAGUACUAGAAACUCCCGUUGUAAGGUCAACUCCAGUUGCAGUGGUUGAGACACCAGUUGUGACCCCAGUGGUACAGACACCAGGUCAGGUUUCAGUGAUGGUAACAGAGAUUGCACCUCCAGUAGCUGUUUCAGCAGUGGCUGCAACAGUAGAAACACCUGUUAUGAUCCCAGUAGUAGAAAGCCCAUUAGUAAAGCCAGCACCAGUUGCAGUGGUUGAGACACCAGUUGUGACCCCAGUGGUACAGACACCAGGCCAGGUUUCAGUUAUGGUAACAGAAACUGCCCCUCCAGUAGUUGUUACUGCAGUGACUGCAACAGUAGAAACACCUGUUGUGAUUCCAGUAGUAGAAACACCUGUUGUAAAGUCAACUGCAGUUGCAGUGGUUGAGACACCAGUGAUGACCCCAGUGGUACAGACACCAGGUCAGGUUUCAGUGAUGGUAACAGAGAUUGCACCUCCAGUAGCUGUUUCAGCAGUGGCUGCAACAGUAGAAACACCUGUUAUGAUCCCAGUAGUAGAAAGCCCAUUAGUAAAGCCAGCACCAGUUGCAGUGGUUGAGACACCAGUUUUGACUCCAGUGGCACAGACACCAUGUCAGGUUUUAGUGGCAGUAACAGAGGCUGCACCUCCAGUAGUUGUUUCAACAGUGACUGCAGCAGCAGAAACACCUGCUGUGAUCCCAGUAGUGGAAACUCCAACUCCAGUUGUUGUGGCAGAGACACCAGUUGUAACCCCAGUGAUGAUGACACCAACUAUGAUUCCAAUAGCGGAAAGGUCAGUUGUGAGCCUAGUAAUAGAAACUACUGCAGAAGCGCCAACUGCAAUUGCAAUGGCAAUGGCAGAGAGACCUGUUAUGAUCCCAGUGGUACAGACACCAGCUCUGGUUUCAGUGAUUGCAAAAGAGGCUGCACCUCCAGUAAUUCUACCAGCAGAGACUGCAGGAGCAGAAACAUCAGUUGUGAGCCCAACAGUAAAGGUAAACCCACCGGUGGCAGAGACACCAGUUCCAGCAGCAGAAGCACCUUCUGUGAUCCCAGCAGUACAAACACCAGUUGCAGAACAGGUAGCACAGACACCAACAACAGCAGCCAUGCCCUUGGUAAAGGCAACAUCAUUUGUGACUGGGAUGGAGGCACCCGCUGUGACUACAGUAGCCCCUUUGAUGAUGAUACCAGCUAUUACCCCAGUUGUAGCUCCACCUGUUGUGACACCAGAAGUAAAGAAAGCAAUGUUGCAGGUAGUUGAACAGGAGAAAAAGGAAGCAAAGGCAGAGGCUUCAGUUGUGUCUAAAGAUGUUGAACCACCAUUUUUGGUUGCGAAAGAGGUAAAGACAUCAGUUUUAACUGAAGAGUGUGUAUCAGAUGAAGAAAAUAGGAAGGCUUCCUUGCAGCAUGAGCCUGUGGUUACUUCAACAGAACCUCAGUCAGAGGUAGAGGAGGAUGUGUGGGAGGAUGCUGUAGAUAAUAUUGGAGAUUCCCCGUGCCAGAUGACAUACACAGAGGGUGCACCCCAAGAUACUGCUGCUAAACAAGCAUCUGAUGCUGCAAUUUGA